Molecule: long non-coding RNA, 1329 nt
Organism: Oncorhynchus tshawytscha (Chinook salmon)
Lineage: Eukaryota; Metazoa; Chordata; Actinopteri; Salmoniformes; Salmonidae
Source: Ensembl
CUUUAUACUGGCUCAGUGUUCAGUACCUCAGAGAUGAGUCUUUAUACUGGCUCAGUGUUCAGUACCUCAGAGAUGAAGCUUUAUACUGGCUCAGUUUUCAGUACCUCAGAGAUGAAGCUUUAUACUGGCUCAGUUUUCAGUACCUCAGAGAUGAAGCUUUAUACUGGCUCAGUGUUCAGUGCCUCAGAGAUGAAGCUUUAUACUGGCUCAGUGUUCAGUACCUCAAAGAGGAAGCUUUAUACUGGCUCAGUGUUCAGUACCUCAAAGAGGAAGCUUUAUACUGGCUCAGUGUUCAGUGCCUCACUAACUCAGAGAUGAAGCUUUAUACUGGCUCAGUGUUCAGUACCUCAGAGAUGAAGCUUCAUACUGGCUCAGUGUUCAGUACCUCACUAGCUCAGAGAUGAAGCUUUAUACUGGCUCAGUGUUCAGUACCUCAGAGAUGAAGCUUUAUACUGGCUCAGUGUUCAGUACCUCAGAGAGGAAGAUAUAUACAGGGUCACUGCCAGUACCACAUUUACAAUGUGCAGGGGUAAUGGAGUAUUGAGGUAGAUAUGGACAUGUUGUCAAGGAUACUGGAACAUUGAGGUAGAUAGGGACAUAUAUGCAGGGAUACUGGAGUAUUGAGGUAGAUAGGGACAUAUAUGCAGGGAUACUGGAGUAUUGAGGUAGAUAGGGACAUAUAUGCAGGGAUACUGGAGUAUUGAGUUAGAUAUGGACAUAUAGGCAGGGAUACUGGAGUAUUGAGGUAGAUAUGGACAUAUAGGCAGGGAUACUGGAGUAUUGAGGUAGAUAUGGACAUAUAGGCAGGGAUACUGGAGUAUUGAGGUAGAUAUGGACAUAGGCAGGGAUACUGGAGUAUUGAGGUAGAUAUGGACAUAUAGGCAGGGAUACUGGAGUAUUGAGGUAGAUAUGGACAUAUAGGCAGGGAUACUGGAGUAUAAAGGGAUUUCUUGAAAGUGACUGGUAGCAGAAAAUAAUGACUGGUAUAUAAAUAAUAAUAUUAAUAAUGUUAAUAAUAAUAUUAUUAUGAAUAAUGAUAAUGAUAAUAUGUAAUAAUGAUAAUGACAAUAAUAAUAAUGAUAAUAACACCAAUGAUCAUAAUAAUAAUAAUAUUAUGAAUAAUAAUAAUGAUAAUAUUAUUAAUAAUACAAUAAUAAUAUAAAUAAUAAUAAUGAUAAUAUAUUAAUAAUAAUGCUGACAAUAAUGAUAAUAUAACGAUAAUAAUGAUAAUAUCAAUAAUAAUUAUGAUAAUAAUAAUGAACAUAUAAUGAUAAUAUUAAUAAUAAUUAUGAUAAUAAUAAUAAUGGUAAUAUAACGAUAAUAAUGAUG